CUUUCUUCUAAAAUGUGCCACAGGAUUUUCAAGUGUGUUUUCAUUUGUAAUCUGAGUGUUCCUACUGCUAGGAAAGUUAACUUCACUUUUCUUCCAGCAGUUUCUGGAAGGAGGCAUGGUGGCUUCUAUCAGGAAAGCCCAUCCCGUGUGCUCCAUUCUCUCCCAGCCACUCCCCACGCUGCUGCCCACCUCCUCUGGGUCACGACUCUGUUCAGACCGGGGUGGGGAGAAGCCGGCUCAGGGGAGCACAGGCCAGAUGAGCCCUGCCUUCUCCAUCUUUAUACUCAGGGAUUUUUCUCUCAGGACACACGGAGCAUGUGCCUUCAAUCUGAUUUCCUUUGUGGGGCUCGGUCCAGCAGAACUAUCUGCAUAUACACUAGUUUCAAAUGUCCCUACAGAGCUCCUGCUCUGCCAGGUGCGUCAGGAGAUGUGGCUGGACGUUGUUCUCAGGGGCAGUUAAGAACUGUCAAUGUUCCACGGCAGUUAGGAGGCGAGGUCGCCGGGAGCGCUGCAGCUGACCUCUGGGUCAGAGGUCAUAAGCGCUAAGGCUCCCCAGCUCUACCCUUUCACAUGCACAUAACAAACCACUUGUAAUUUUUCAUUUCCAAGGAUGUGUUCGGUCCUGUUCAGAAUACAACUCCCUCUUCCCACACACACCCCUACGUUAAAGAAUUCUGGGUAUUUGCUAUGCCCACACUUGGACCGGGCAGACCUCAAAAUGGGUUCCCAGAGUGCACAAGCACAAGGGGGCAGCACUCUUGUGCUAAAGGGGCUGAGAUGCUGGCACAGGGCCAGCAGGGAAAGGUCAUGAGCAAAGAGGGAAGUUGCUGGACAGGGAUCAGGAACCCAGGCAAAGCUCACGAAGGCGACAGAGUUCCUUCAUACCUGGAUAUGAGCAAGAAGACCAAGUGAUUUUUUUAUUUUUUUUGCAAGGGCUAUGGAUCUGCAGUUUUCCUUUUGUGCCAUUUUUGUCUAGGUUAACGCUAGCAUCAUAAAAGGAGUGGGGAAGUGCUCCUUUAGCUUCCAGUUUUUGGAGAAGAUUGUGGAAAAGUGGUGUUACAUCUUCACGCACUUGGUUGAAUUCUGCCAUGAAAUCAUCAAGACCUGGAGAUUUCUUUUUUUCGGGUGUUUUUAAUAUUAUGAAUCCAAGUUCUCCAGGCCGGGGAUCAAACUCGUUCCUUAGCAGCGACACUGUUGGAUCCUUGACCUUCUGCACCAUAGCAGGAACUCCUAGUUUUACUUUUUUUUUUUAGGAACUUCCAAACUGUUUUCCGUAGUGGCUGCACCAAUUUUCAGUCCCGCUAAUAGUUCACAGGGUUUUCUUUUCUCCACAUCUUCACCAGCACUGGUUAUUUUUUACCUUUUUGAUGGUGGCUGUUCGAACAGGUGUGAGGUGGUAUCUCAUUGCAUUUCCCUGAUGAUUAGUGGUGCUGAGCAUCUUUUCAUGUGCCUGUCAACCAUGUGUCUUCUUCGGAAAAUGUCUAUUCAGUUCCUCUGCCCAUGUGUUUGUUGGAUUGUUUGUUGUUGUUGCUGUCAUUGAGCUGUG
RNAcentral lists this long non-coding RNA (1546 nucleotides) under Sus scrofa (pig). RNAcentral's name for it is "lncRNA (ENSSSCG00070009030.1)". Lineage: Eukaryota; Metazoa; Chordata; Mammalia; Artiodactyla; Suidae. The record is from RNAcentral.